CAUGCAAGUCGAACGGAAAGGCCCUUUCGGGGGUACUCGAGUGGCGAACGGGUGAGUAACACGUGGGUGAUCUGCCCUGCACUUUGGGAUAAGCCUGGGAAACUGGGUCUAAUACCGGAUAUACCUCAUGGGCUGCAUGGUUUGUGAGGGAAAGCUUUUGCGGUGUGGGAUGGGCCCGCGGCCUAUCAGCUUGUUGGUGGGGUGAUGGCCUACCAAGGCGACGACGGGUAGCCGGCCUGAGAGGGUGACCGGCCACACUGGGACUGAGAUACGGCCCAGACUCCUACGGGAGGCAGCAGUGGGGAAUAUUGCACAAUGGGCGCAAGCCUGAUGCAGCGACGCCGCGUGAGGGAUGACGGCCUUCGGGUUGUAAACCUCUUUCAGCAGGGACGAAGCGCAAGUGACGGUACCUGUAGAAGAAGGACCGGCCAACUACGUGCCAGCAGCCGCGGUAAUACGUAGGGUCCGAGCGUUGUCCGGAAUUACUGGGCGUAAAGAGCUCGUAGGUGGUUUGUCGCGUUGUUCGUGAAAACUCACA
This 538-nucleotide ribosomal RNA is filed under the name uncultured Mycobacterium sp. Its description in RNAcentral is "bacterial SSU rRNA". It matches the Rfam family "Bacterial small subunit ribosomal RNA", at positions 54 to 606 of the family's 1533-position model. The record is from RNAcentral. Lineage: Bacteria; Bacillati; Actinomycetota; Actinomycetes; Mycobacteriales; Mycobacteriaceae.